RNAcentral lists this ribosomal RNA (1072 nucleotides) under uncultured organism. RNAcentral describes it as "bacterial SSU rRNA". It matches the Rfam family "Bacterial small subunit ribosomal RNA", at positions 27 to 1096 of the family's 1533-position model. The record is from RNAcentral.
GGAUGAACGCCAGCGGCAGGCUUAACACAUGCAUGUCGAGGGGUAACGAUCCCGCUUCGGUGGGAGGCGACGACCGGCAAAUGGGUGAGUAAUACAUAUGCAACUUGCCCGUAGCUGGAGGAUAGCUUCCGGAAACGGAAAUUGACACUCCAUAAUAUCCUAAUAUCGCAUGUUAUAAGGAUUAAAGUUUCGACGGCUACGGAUGGGCAUAUGUCCCAUUAGCUUGUUGGUGAGGUAACGGCUCACCAAGGCUACGAUGGGUAGGGGGCCUGAGAGGGUGAUCCCCCACACUGGUACUGAGACACGGACCAGACUCCUACGGGAGGCAGCAGUGAGGAAUAUUGGUCAAUGGGCGAAAGCCUGAACCAGCCAUGCCGCGUGCAGGAUGACUGUCCUAUGGAUUGUAAACUGCUUUUCUGCAGGAAGAAACGCUUCUACGUGUAGAGGUUUGACGGUACUGCAGGAAUAAGCAUCGGCUAACUCCGUGCCAGCAGCCGCGGUAAUACGGAGGAUGCAAGCGUUAUCCGGAUUCAUUGGGUUUAAAGGGUGCGUAGGCGGAUUGGUAAGUCAAAGGUGAAAGUCUGUAGCUUAACUAUAGAAGUGCCUUUGAUACUGCUAGUCUUGAGUACAGUUGAGGCGAGUGGAAUGUGUAGUGUAGCGGUGAAAUGCAUAGAUACUACACAGAACACCAAUUGUGAAGACAGCUCGCUAAGCUGCUACUGACGCUCAGGCACGAAAGCGUGGGGAGCGAACAGGAUUAGAUACCCUGGUAGUCCACGCUGUAAACUAUGAUCACUAGCUGUUGGCGAUAAAUUGUCAGUGGCUGAGCGAAAGCGUUAAGUGAUCCACCUGGGGAGUACGAUCGCAAGGUUGAAACUCAAAGGAAUUGACGGGGGCCCGCACAAGCGGUGGAACAUGUGGUUUAAUUCGAUGAUACGCGAGGAACCUUACCUGGGCUUAAAUGUAGAACGACGUCCUGAGAAAUCGGGAUUCCAUUCGGGCAGGACUACAAGGUGCUGCAUGGUUGUCGUCAGCUCGUGCCGUGAGGUAUCGGGUUAAGUCCCAUAACGAG